RNAcentral lists this ribosomal RNA (506 nucleotides) under Salmonella enterica subsp. enterica serovar Johannesburg. RNAcentral's name for it is "bacterial LSU rRNA". It matches the Rfam family "Bacterial large subunit ribosomal RNA", at positions 79 to 587 of the family's 2925-position model. Lineage: Bacteria; Pseudomonadati; Pseudomonadota; Gammaproteobacteria; Enterobacterales; Enterobacteriaceae. The record is from RNAcentral.
CGGUAAGGUGAUAUGAACCGUUAUAACCAGCGAUUGCCGAAUGGGGAAACCCAGUGUGACUCGUCACACUAUCAUUAACUGAAUCCAUAGGUUAAUGAGGCGAACCGGGGGAACUGAAACAUCUAAGUACCCCGAGGAAAAGAAAUCAACCGAGAUUCCCCCAGUAGCGGCGAGCGAACGGGGAGGAGCCCAGAGCCUGAAUCAGCAUGUGUGUUAGUGGAAGCGUCUGGAAAGGCGCGCGAUACAGGGUGACAGCCCCGUACACAAAAGCGCAUGUGCUGUGAGCUCGAUGAGUAGGGCGGGACACGUGGUAUCCUGUCUGAAUAUGGGGGGACCAUCCUCCAAGGCUAAAUACUCCUGACUGACCGAUAGUGAACCAGUACCGUGAGGGAAAGGCGAAAAGAACCCCGGCGAGGGGAGUGAAAAAGAACCUGAAACCGUGUACGUACAAGCAGUGGGAGCCCCACCACUAAGCCAGUGGUGAACUCCACAUACGCAUCCUUUGC